AGUGAACGCUGGCGGCGUGCUUAACACAUGCAAGUCGAACGAGAACGGGUUAUAGCUUGCUAUAAUUGUCAGCUAAGUGGCGCACGGGUGAGUAAUGUAUAGGUAAUAUGCCUCUUACUAAGGGAUAACAAAUGGAAACGUUUGCUAAUACCUUAUACUCCUUAAUUAACAGAAGUUAAUAAGGGAAAGAUUUAUUGGUAAGAGAUUAGCCUGUAUUGUAUCAGUUAGUUGGUGGGGUAAUGGCUUACCAAGACUAUGACACAUAACUGGUUUGAGAGGAUGAUCAGUCACACUGGAACUGAGACACGGUCCAGACUCCUACGGGAGGCAGCAGUGGGGAAUAUUGCACAAUGGACGAAAGUCUGAUGCAGCAACGCCGCGUGGAGGAUGACACAUUUCGGUGCGUAAACUCCUUUUAUAUGAGAAGAUAAUGACGGUAUUAUAUGAAUAAGCACCGGCUAACUCCGUG
This 469-nucleotide ribosomal RNA is filed under the name uncultured bacterium. RNAcentral describes it as "bacterial SSU rRNA". It matches the Rfam family "Bacterial small subunit ribosomal RNA", at positions 29 to 507 of the family's 1533-position model. The record is from RNAcentral.